Molecule: long non-coding RNA, 473 nt
Filed under: Apteryx owenii (little spotted kiwi)
Lineage: Eukaryota; Metazoa; Chordata; Aves; Apterygiformes; Apterygidae
Description: lncRNA (ENSAOWG00000000727.1)
Source: RNAcentral
GAAACCAAGUGGUAUUUUUCCCCUUUUCCGCAUGUGCAGUAAUACUGCUGCUGCCCAGCCAUGCCAAGCCGGCAGCUUCCAUGCAGAAAAUGCAUAAUGAGCCCGGUGUUCGUGGGCAGCUCUGCAUCAGCUUGGGGUUUCCAGCAGCACUUCUGAAAUAUGUGCAGCCUGUUCAUUCGGCGCCUACACAGUCCAGCAAGCAGCGAGGGCAAGGAGGAACAGGGGCCCGGAACAGCCGGUCGCCGCUGCGAAUAGAACAACUCAUCCAUCCUGCAGCCUGUCGCCGAGCCGAGCUAUCCCAGAGGUCGCGCAUCUCUGCCAUGGAGCGUGACGAGGAUAUUAAUCCUGCAGAUCAGUGCCAAAGAGAAAAUGCUUUGCAGGAAGUAACCUGUUCUCGUUCCUUUGGCUUGCGGAAUAGAUGUCGCAGCAGGCUCUUAAUAAAUGGUGGAAUAGGAAGGAGACAGAAAUUUUAA